Molecule: ribosomal RNA, 656 nt
Filed under: uncultured bacterium
Lineage: Bacteria
Description: bacterial SSU rRNA
Rfam family: Bacterial small subunit ribosomal RNA
Source: RNAcentral
UAGAGUUUGAUCCUGGCUCAGAUUGAACGCUGGCGGCAGGCCUAACACAUGCAAGUCGAGCGGCAGCGACAACAUUGAACCUUCGGGGGAUUUGUUGGGCGGCGAGCGGCGGACGGGUGAGUAAUGCCUAGGAAAUUGCCCUGAUGUGGGGGAUAACCAUUGGAAACGAUGGCUAAUACCGCAUGAUGCCUACGGGCCAAAGAGGGGGACCUUCGGGCCUCUCGCGUCAGGAUAUGCCCAGGUGGGAUUAGCUUGUUGGUGAGGUAAUGGCUCACCAAGGCAACGAUCCCUAGCUGGUCUGAGAGGAUGAUCAGCCACACUGGAACUGAGACACGGUCCAGACUCCUACGGGAGGCAGCAGUGGGGAAUAUUGCACAAUGGGGGAAACCCUGAUGCAGCCAUGCCGCGUGUGUGAAGAAGGCCUUCGGGUUGUAAAGCACUUUCAGUAGGGAGGAAGGUAGUGUAGUUAACACCUGCAUUAUUUGACGUUACCUACAGAAGAAGCACCGGCUAACUCCGUGCCAGCAGCCGCGGUAAUACGGAGGGUGCGAGCGUUAAUCGGAAUUACUGGGCGUAAAGCGCAUGCAGGCGGCCUGUUAAGUCAGAUGUGAAAGCCCGGGGCUUAACCUCGGAAUUGCAUUUGAAACUGGCAGGCU